Molecule: ribosomal RNA, 465 nt
Filed under: uncultured bacterium
Lineage: Bacteria
Description: partial 16S ribosomal RNA
Rfam family: Bacterial small subunit ribosomal RNA
Source: RNAcentral
CCUACGGGUGGCAGCAGUAGGGAAUCUUCCACAAUGGACGAAAGUCUGAUGGAGCAACGCCGCGUGAGUGAAGAAGGGUUUCGGCUCGUAAAGCUCUGUUGGUAGUGAAGAAAGAUAGAGGUAGUAACUGGCCUUCACUUGACGGUAAUUACUUAGAAAGUCACGGCUAACUACGUGCCAGCAGCCGCGGUAAUACGUAGGUGGCAAGCGUUGUCCGGGUUUAUUGGGCGUAAAGCGAGUGCAGGCGGUUCAAUAAGUCUGAUGUGAAAGCCCGCGGCUCAACCGGGGAAUUGCAUUAGAAACUGGUGAACUUGAGUGUAGAAGAGGAGAGUGGAACUCCAUGUGUAGCGGUGAAAUGCGUAGAUAUAUGGAGGAACACCAGUGGCGAAGGCGGCUCUCUGGUCUGCAACUGACGCUGAGGCUCGAAAGCAUGGGUAGCAAACAGGAUUAGAUACCCGAGUAGUC